This 787-nucleotide ribosomal RNA is filed under the name uncultured Neocallimastigales. RNAcentral's name for it is "partial large subunit ribosomal RNA". It matches the Rfam family "Eukaryotic large subunit ribosomal RNA", at positions 26 to 644 of the family's 3401-position model. The record is from RNAcentral. Lineage: Eukaryota; Fungi; Neocallimastigomycota; Neocallimastigomycetes; Neocallimastigales.
CGUCUAUAUACGUAUAGCAUAUCAAUAAGCGGAGGAAAAGAAACUAACUAGGAUUCCCUUAGUAACGGCGAGUGAAGCGGGAAGAGCUCAAAUUUGAAAUCUUCAAGGUUUUACCUUGACGAAUUGUAGUUUAAAGAAGUGUUUUCUGUUGGAGUUUUGGUAAAAGUUCUUUGGAAAUAGGACAUCAUAGAAGGGUGAGAAUCCCGUAUUUGACCAUUACUUUCAGCUGUGUGAUACACUUUCAAAGAGUCGGAUUGUUUGGGAAUGCAGUCCAAAAUGGGUGGUAAAUUUCAUCUAAAGCUAAAUAUUGGCGAGAGACCGAUAGCGAACAAGUACCGUGAGGGAAAGAUGAAAAGAACUUUGAAAAGAGAGUUAAACAGUACGUGAAAUUGUCAAAAGGGAAGCGUUUGACACCAGUGUUGUUUUCUCGAAAAUCAAUUACAAAGUGUUUGGAUUUUGAUGAGUUAAUGACCUUCAUCAGCUACUGCUCCUUCUUUACUGAAUCUUUCUUAAUGCACUUUUCGGUUAACAAGUCAACAUCAGUUUCUUUUGUUGUAAAAGAGUAUUCGGAAGGUGGCUUUCUUUUCGGAGAAAGUGUUUAUAGCCUUGUGCCUCCUGCAAUCGGAGAGAUUGAGGUCUGCAGCGUAGAUCCUUCUGGAUUAGAUACAUUUGUGCUAAGUUAUAAGCGUUUCAUAGACAACUUGUUGACUAUAUUUAGAUCCUUGUAGCUUACUCGCUUACUGCUAAUUUUACCUACGCUUAGGAUGUUGACUGAUAUGUAGUCGUA